Molecule: ribosomal RNA, 349 nt
Filed under: uncultured bacterium
Lineage: Bacteria
Description: partial 16S ribosomal RNA
Rfam family: Bacterial small subunit ribosomal RNA
Source: RNAcentral
UGAAGGCCUUCGGGUCGUAAAGCUCUGUUGUUAGGGAAGAACAAGUACCGUACUAACUGCGCGUACCUUGACCGUACCUAACCCGAAAGCCACGGCUAACUUCCUGCCCGCAGCCGCGGUAAUACCUAGGUUGCAAGCGUUUUCCGGGAUUAUUGGGCGUAAAGCGCGCGCAAGGGGUUUCUUAAGUCUGAAGUGAAAGCCCCCGGCUCAACCGGGGAAGGGCAUUGGAAACUGGGGGACCUGAAUGCCAAAAAAGAAAACGGAAUUCCCCCUGUAACGGUUAAAUGCCUAAAAAUUUUGAAGGACCCCCGUGGCCAAAGGCGCUUUCUGGUCUGUAACUGACCCUUAA